GAUGAACGCUAGCUACAGGCUUAACACAUGCAAGUCGAGGGACCGGCGCACGGGUGAGUAACAUGUAUACCACCUGCCCUUUACUCGGGGAUAGCCUUUCGAAAGAAAGAUUAAUACCCGAUAUAAAGGAUGGGGAUGCGUUUCAUUAGGUUGUUGGUGAGGUAACGGCCCACCAAGCCUUCGAUGGAUAGGGGUGCUGAGAGGCAGGCACCCGGCAUUUGAACGGAGACACGGUCCAAAAUCGUAGGGGAGGCAGCAGUUAGGAAUAUUAGGCGAGGGGGGCUAGUCUGAACCAGCCAAGUGUCUUGAAAGAGCAAUGCGUAUGAGUGGUAAACUUCUGUUGUAGAAGAAUCUGUAUUAUAAGAAUAAGGAUCGGCUAACUCCGUGCCAGCAGCCGCGGUAAUUC
RNAcentral lists this ribosomal RNA (406 nucleotides) under uncultured bacterium. RNAcentral describes it as "partial 16S ribosomal RNA". It matches the Rfam family "Bacterial small subunit ribosomal RNA", at positions 28 to 526 of the family's 1533-position model. The record is from RNAcentral.